UUGAACUAAUUUUACCCGUUUUCCUACAUCUAAAUAUGGGUUCAACCAAUCAGCAAAGCUCUUAUCCAUCACGUGAUCAUUAUUGAUCCGUUUACCAAAAGAGAAAGCAUGGUUUAUUGAACUGCUGAAUUUUUCGAAUUUAUACCAUAUUUCCUACAGGAAAUCCUAAAGCUUUUGUUGUGAUACCAUUUUGAAGAUUUCGGACGAUGUGAUCUGCUUGUUAUUUACAGAAAAACGUCUGUAAAGUGAGUUUUUGUUACGAAAUCGACCUUGUAAAGUUUACAUCCGGGCAUUUAGCAUGCUGAGGAGUUCACAACUCAGGACGACCAAAAUAAUUUACAUGUGAUUUUUACAUAGAUAUUCUAUUACUACGAGUCGUCUGGGGAAUAAUAUGGUCAAUUGAAGUAAAUUUGGUAAACGAUCGAUAAACAGUGUCAGUGUAUCUACAGUGGUUUAAAAUAUGUAGUAAAUAAUGUCGGGCUCGAGAUCCCGAAAACUCUUACAUGAACUAUGUCAGCUGUAAACAUAGACCCUUUGCUGUAGGUCUCUGCUGUAAACAAUAAGAUUCAAUUACAUUAUAGACCUGACAGUGUAUAGACUUGUUCCUGGGAGGUUUUUGCAACUGGCCGUCAGUGAUUCACCUACAUCGUUAAUCCUAACACCAUGAUCAAGCCUGGAGAUUUUAUCAAUCACACCGGAAACUUCAUUCCUUUAGGAACUUUUGCCUAUUUACGGUGAUUUGCAAUUUGCUGAGCUUUGAAAAUGUGCAUCUAUGUGAUAACAUCAUUUUUCUUAACUGUCCAUCCAAAAUUUCACAAGACAGUUUUGCUUUUUACAUUCACCUUGGCCGCGGAAUAAGAACCUGUUUGUUACAGUGGAAACCUUUCCCUUCUUCAAGGACUUGAAUGUCAGAAUCAUCUACACAAACCAGAUAUUGAUGAGUGAAUAUAAACAGCUCAGCAGUGACGAGAGUUACCUUUUUACAAGUUAUGAGAUCUCCAUUGAUGCUGAUGUAGUAUUCACUUGACACUCCUGCAUUCCCAGUAUAAAGCAGGCCAGUAUAGUAUAGUUCUUCUGAUGAAGUCAUGUGUUAUCCAUUAAAAUUAAGUUAGCUAGCUCAUAAGUAAAGGCUCAAGUUUUUUGGUUCCUUAUAUAAUUUUGCAAUAUUUUUACUAAUACAGGUAUCAUACUUGGUAACAAAUCCUGCUUUUCCUUUUUGAACAAUGAAUGAUCUUACUCAAGUUUACUUAUAUGUUGUUCACGGAGCCAAAAAUUUUGUUUGGAGUUAGUUGCCUAUGUGAUAGUUACCCAUCCCACCAAAUUAGAAACAGACACUAUCCACACUGGGUAACACUUGCAGAAGCUAUAUAGGCCAUGUGGAAACAACAGUCAGAAAUCAGAUAUGCAUGCACAGACAACACAACAGUGGACAAACAAGUGCCCAUUACCAAGGACAUUGCCUCAACAUAGCAAAGUAUUGUGGCAACAGCCAUUUUAAGUUUGGGUGGUGUAUUGGUUGAUGUUUCUGGGGACUGCUCUAUCAACAAGUCAAUUGAAUGGAAAAAGAAAGAAAAUGGUAAAAUUACAGGCCCUUUAAAAGAUACACAUUUUGUUGAAAUCAUAUCUCCUAUAAUAGUUGUUCUACAAAAUAUGAAACAAAGGGUGAACACAGUUCAUGAAUCAUCUCUAUAAUCAGUCUCUGUAGAGCUCAGUAGUCGUCGAGCGUGGCAAUACGUUUGACAAAUACAAAUUACUGUAGCAUAAUGGUAUCCUAAUGAGGAUUUACUGUCAUGCAGGAUAAAAUACACGCUUAUUAACCCUGCAAUUUCUAUUGAUGAUGCAUUUAAGCUUAUGCAUACGAUUGUUGUAUGCAAUGUUGUUUCACUAAACAUGGGACCAUACAUGUUAAGAAAGUUGCAUCACUUGGUAUAUGGAAUAUCUCGGUUAACACUGGACCAUAUGUGUUAAGUAGUUGCAUCAUGUUGUAUAUGGAAUAUUUCUCUAAACACGGGACCAUACGUGUUUAGAAAGUACAUGUUUUGUACAUGAAAUGUUUUACUAAACACAGGACCAUAUACAUGUUUAGUAGGUUACAUCAUGUUGUAAUAGAUAUUGGCUAAACACAGGACCAUAUGUGUUU
Saccostrea cuccullata (small rock oyster) is the source of this 2140-nucleotide long non-coding RNA. RefSeq lists it as uncharacterized. The transcript has 3 exons. NCBI's taxonomy places the organism in Eukaryota, Metazoa, Mollusca, Bivalvia, Ostreida, Ostreidae. The record is from RefSeq and is a predicted model, not a curated record.